GACGAACGCUGGCGGCGUGCCUAAUACAUGCAAGUCGAGCGGACAGAUGGGAGCUUGCUCCCUGAUGUUAGCGGCGGACGGGUGAGUAACACGUGGGUAACCUGCCUGUAAGACUGGGAUAACUCCGGGAAACCGGGGCUAAUACCGGAUGSUUGUUUGAACCGCAUGGUUCAGACAUAAAAGGUGGCUUCGGCUACCACUUACAGAUGGACCCGCGGCGCAUUAGCUAGUUGGUGAGGUAACGGCUCACCAAGGCRACGAUGCGUAGCCGACCUGAGAGGGUGAUCGGCCACACUGGGACUGAGACACGGCCCAGACUCCUACGGGAGGCAGCAGUAGGGAAUCUUCCGCAAUGGACGAAAGUCUGACGGAGCAACGCCGCGUGAGUGAUGAAGGUUUUCGGAUCGUAAAG
Molecule: ribosomal RNA, 412 nt
Filed under: Bacillus sp. R-31200
Lineage: Bacteria; Bacillati; Bacillota; Bacilli; Caryophanales; Bacillaceae
Description: bacterial SSU rRNA
Rfam family: Bacterial small subunit ribosomal RNA
Source: RNAcentral